AUUGAACGCUGGCGGCAGGCUUAACACAUGCAAGUCGAGCGGGGUGAUGGUGCUUGCACUAUCACUUAGCGGCGGACGGGUGAGUAAUGCUUAGGAAUCUGCCUAUUAGUGGGGGACAACAUUUCGAAAGGAAUGCUAAUACCGCAUACGUCCUACGGGAGAAAGCAGGGGAUCUUCGGACCUUGCGCUAAUAGAUGAGCCUAAGUCGGAUUAGCUAGUUGGUGGGGUAAAGGCCUACCAAGGCGACGAUCUGUAGCGGGUCUGAGAGGAUGAUCCGCCACACUGGGACUGAGACACGGCCCAGACUCCUACGGGAGGCAGCAGUGAGGAAUAUUGGACAAUGGGGGGAACCCUGAUCCAGCCAUGCCGCGUGUGUGAAGAAGGCCUUAUGGUUGUAAAGCACUUUAAGCGAGGAGGAGGCUCUUUUGGUUAAUACCCAAGAUGAGUGGACGUUACUCGCAGAAUAAGCACCGGCUAACUCUGUGCCAGCCGCCGCAGUAA
This 501-nucleotide ribosomal RNA is filed under the name uncultured bacterium. RNAcentral's name for it is "partial 16S ribosomal RNA". It matches the Rfam family "Bacterial small subunit ribosomal RNA", at positions 30 to 523 of the family's 1533-position model. The record is from RNAcentral.